GAUGAACGCUGGCGGCGUGCCUAAUACAUGCAAGUCGAGCGAACAGACGAGGAGCUUGCUCCUCUGACGUUAGCGGCGGACGGGUGAGUAACACGUGGAUAACCUACCUAUAAGACUGGGAUAACUUCGGGAAACCGGACCUAAUACCGGAUAAUAUAUUGAACCGCAUGGUUCAAUAGUGAAAGACGGUUUUGCUGUCACUUAUAGAUGGAUCCGCGCCGCAUUAGCUAGUUGGUAAGGUAACGGCUUACCAAGGCAACGAUGCGUAGCCGACCUGAGAGGGUGAUGGGCCACACUGGAACUGAGACACGGUCCAGACUCCUACGGGAGGCAGCAGUAGGGAAUCUUCAGCAAUGGGCGAAAGCCUGACGGAGCAACGCCGCGUGAGUGAUGAAGGUCUUCGGAUCGUAAAAGUGUGUUAUUAGGGAAGAACAAAUGUGUAAGUAACUAUGCACGUCUUGACGGUACCUAGUCAGAAAGCCACGGCUAACUACGUG
Molecule: ribosomal RNA, 497 nt
Filed under: uncultured bacterium
Lineage: Bacteria
Description: partial 16S ribosomal RNA
Rfam family: Bacterial small subunit ribosomal RNA
Source: RNAcentral